UUAUAACCAAUUUUACUUUGGUUACAUGUAGAUAAUUGACCAUAGUAAGAUAUCCACAUUAAAUAUGUAGAAAUAUUAAUAAGUUGCAGAAUUUGGUGCAAGCUUGAUUUUAACUAGCUAUGCCUACAUCGCAUGUUUCAUACUAGCUUGAGUUCUUUCAUUUGUGAGCAAGCAAUUUCUCUUUUGUUAAGUUUUACAUGACCUAUGUGCUACCCAUAUAAUCCUGAGUAUUUAUGUUAUCAAAGCCUUGAGGAGAUAUUGUGUAUGCGUGUUUGAAGCUACUGGUAAAGGUAGUAAAUCGGCCCAUAGACCGGCAAAGACACAAUGGCGUGUCCUACAUCAUUACUCUGCCAUCUUUGUACUCGUUUCGCCAAACUAUUGGUUCUGAUAUAGUAAUUAGGCUAAAAUUGCCCAAAUACACUGUUAACAUGGUAUGAUAUUGUCCGCUUUCAGCCAAGCGCACAUGUUUUUUCCCAAAAAAACUCACACUAUUAAGAGUAUCCAACUCCUUAUAAAAAGAUUAUUUCUUUUUUUACUUUUUAUGCGGGACUUUAUUCACACACCCAACAACAGUCUUUCAUUAUUAAUUUGACAACCCUAAGUUUUUAUUCUUUUGCAACCUUGAAGAUAAAAGAAGAUGCACAACAUAUGAGAUGCAUGUUAAAUUAUACUAUGUAAAUUUAGUGCAAACAGCCCGUUGAACUCACUUUUUGCUUAGUAACUCAAAUCAGAAAUUUUCUAGUGUUGAUUAUUUUCAUUAACCUAGUUUUUGAUGUACUGUGUCAGAUUAACAAUUCUAUCAAAUGGUGACAUUAUUUGUGUAUCAUGGUCUGUGUAAUAGAGCUGAGGGUCUAUCUGAAAUAAUAUUUUUAUUCCCUUGGAGUGGGGUUAAACUCUGCGUGCACACUACCUUCCCAUACUCCACUUAUAAAAUUUUACUGGGUUGUUGUUAUUGUUGGUCUGUGUAAUAGUAUGCUAUAUUUGGAGUUGAGGAAACUUUACUAAGACUUGUAUGUCAAAUAUUUACAGGUCAAAAUGGUUACUCAAUGUCCAAUUUUAUGUGAAUUAUUGUUCUCAUAACUCAUAUUGAAUGAGUAGGCUUGGUUUAUAUAUUCCCUUUACUUUCUCAAAACCAUUUUUACUGUUAUCUGAAACUAUUGCUCCGAACCUGAUUGUCUUUUGUUACUCAUAAUUGAUAGAGGCAUUGAAGAUGGAAGCAACAACUAUGUCCCAAAGGGAGCAUGUUUUUCUCUUCCACAGGCUUAUUAUGCUUCUUAAAUCCUCAUUCUGCAUUAUUCAUUUUGAGUACUAUUUUUUUUAAUCUUGUCUUUAGCUGUCUUUCCAGGAUAGGGGUAAAGGGUCUGCGUACACAUUACCCUUUUCAAACUCCACUUGUGAGAACUCAGUGGAUCUGUUGUUGUUGUUGUUGUUACCCUGACAGCAGUUGUGUAUUUCUUGUGAGACGUAAUUGCUUGUUGAUUGGAGUGUUUUUUUUUUUUACCUCUAAUUAUUUGUCGGGAAAAUGUGCAUAACAUUGCUUCAGAAGGACAAUAUUUUUAACCUAAGAUGCUGGACUUUGCCAACUUGAACUGCGACCUCUUAGGCUAUAAUUAAUCUCUUACAUUAUCAAUAUUUUUAAAGAUUUUUGUAAGAGCAGUUUUGUCUUUAUACUUGGUUAUCCAUGUAUACUAAAAAUCAUGGUAUUGUUAUUGCAGUUGUUUGCUUUGUACAAGAAUAAUAUUGAAUAGGG
Molecule: long non-coding RNA, 1750 nt
Filed under: Nicotiana benthamiana
Lineage: Eukaryota; Viridiplantae; Streptophyta; Magnoliopsida; Solanales; Solanaceae
Description: long non-coding RNA (NBEN_LNC003230)
Source: RNAcentral